Molecule: non-coding RNA, 72 nt
Organism: Bos taurus (domestic cattle)
Lineage: Eukaryota; Metazoa; Chordata; Mammalia; Artiodactyla; Bovidae
Source: Rfam
UCCCUGGUGGUCCAGUGGUUGGAACUCUGUGCUUUCACUGCUGGGGCCCAGGUUCGAUCCCUGGUCAGGGAA